This 426-nucleotide ribosomal RNA is filed under the name uncultured bacterium. Its description in RNAcentral is "bacterial SSU rRNA". It matches the Rfam family "Bacterial small subunit ribosomal RNA", at positions 355 to 772 of the family's 1533-position model. The record is from RNAcentral.
UGGGGAAUUGUUCGCAAUGGGCGCAAGCCUGACGACGCAACGCCGCGUGGGGGAUGAAGGUCUUCGGAUUGUAAACCCCUGUUGGGUGGGACGAACACUUUCGUGGUGAAUAUCCACGAGGGCUGACGGUACCACCUGAGGAAGCCACGGCUCACUACGUGCCAGCAGCCGCGGUAAUACGUAGGUGGCGAGCGUUGUCCGGAUUUACUGGGCGUAAAGAGCCCGCAGGCGGUCCGUUAAGUUUCAGGUGAAAUCUCCCGGCUCAACCGGGAGGGUGCCUGGAAAACUGGCGGACUUGAGGCAGGGAGAGGGAUGUGGAAUUCCCGGUGUAGUAGUGAAAUGCGUAGAUAUCGGGAGGAACACCAGUGGCGAAGGCGGCAUCCUGGCCCUGUCCUGACGCUCAGGGGCGAAAGCGUGGGGAGCAAA